AGAGUUUGAUCCUGGCUCAGAACGAACGCUGGCGGCAGGCCUAACACAUGCAAGUCGAACGAUAAGCCACCUUCGGGUGGUGGACAGUGGCAGACGGGUGAGUAACGCGUGGGAACGUGCCUUUCGGUUCGGAAUAACCCAGGGAAACUUGGGCUAAUACCGGAUACGCCCUUCGGGGGAAAGAUUCAUUGCCGAAAGAUCGGCCCGCGUCGGAUUAGCUAGUUGGUGGGGUAAUGGCUCACCAAGGCGACGAUCCGUAGCUGGUCUGAGAGGAUGACCAGCCACACUGGGACUGAGACACGGCCCAGACUCCUACGGGAGGCAGCAGUGGGGAAUAUUGGACAAUGGGCGAAAGCCUGAUCCAGCCAUGCCGCGUGGGUGAAGAAGGCCUUAGGGUUGUAAACCCCUUUCAGCGGGGAAGAUAAUGACGGUACCCGCAGAAGAAGUCCCGGCUAACUCCGUGCCAGCAGCCGCGGUAAU
Molecule: ribosomal RNA, 480 nt
Filed under: uncultured soil bacterium
Lineage: Bacteria
Description: bacterial SSU rRNA
Rfam family: Bacterial small subunit ribosomal RNA
Source: RNAcentral